RNAcentral lists this ribosomal RNA (599 nucleotides) under uncultured bacterium. RNAcentral's name for it is "bacterial SSU rRNA". It matches the Rfam family "Bacterial small subunit ribosomal RNA", at positions 152 to 746 of the family's 1533-position model. The record is from RNAcentral.
CGAAAAGAGCAGCUAAUACCGCAUACGACCUGAGGGUGAAAGCGGGGGAUCGCAAGACCUCGCGCGAUUGGAGCGGCCGAUAUCAGAUUAGGUAGUUGGUGAGGUAAAGGCUCACCAAGCCGACGAUCUGUAGCUGGUCUGAGAGGACGACCAGCCACACUGGGACUGAGACACGGCCCAGACUCCUACGGGAGGCAGCAGUGGGGAAUUUUGGACAAUGGGCGCAAGCCUGAUCCAGCCAUGCCGCGUGCGGGAAGAAGGCCUUCGGGUUGUAAACCGCUUUUGUCAGGGAAGAAAAGGUUCUGGCUAAUACCUGGGACUCAUGACGGUACCUGAAGAAUAAGCACCGGCUAACUACGUGCCAGCAGCCGCGGUAAUACGUAGGGUGCAAGCGUUAAUCGGAAUUACUGGGCGUAAAGCGUGCGCAGGCGGUUAUGCAAGACAGAGGUGAAAUCCCCGGGCUCAACCUGGGAACUGCCUUUGUGACUGCAUGGCUAGAGUACGGUAGAGGGGGACGGAAUUCCGCGUGUAGCAGUGAAAUGCGUAGAUAUGCGGAGGAACACCGAUGGCGAAGGCAAUCCCCUGGACCUGUACUACGC